UUGGGGUUAACACAAUGUGAGCAUGAAGUACAUAAGUUUUGUAGAAUUUCGUGCCAAUUUAAAUUUAGGAUUAGAAAUUUAAAGCCAAAUAAUGGGAACAUUAUUACCCACGUGGAGAUGUGGAUUCUCAUUUCUAACCUUGAUUUGGCUCAAGCUAUUUGUUCAGGAAGUGGUAUCCGUCUCAAAUCCUGAAUGGGUGCAGGAUCGACAAAACCCUGCAUUUUGCUAUGAUCCAAAUUUAUCGUGCGGUCCGCCAUUUUGGCCAGGGACAUGCACCUCGGGUGGGCGUCAGUCUCCCAUAGAUAUUCAAUCCAAUAGCUACAAAAUAUUUAAGAAAUUUAGCUACUUCACCCUUAAUCCGGCCUACAGUGUCGCGCAACCCAUAUUUUUCGCCAGGAAUACGGGACAUUCUUUUCAAAUCCAAUUCGACGGUGCGACGAGUCCCACUUCUGCCGGGUUACAGUUCACGGAUGGGGGCAGUCCUACCAAGGGGAACACAUUUCUUUUUAGCCAGCUACAUUUCCACUGGGGGUCUGAACAUACGUUGAACGGAGUUAGAUAUCCCCUCGAGAUGCAUAUGGUGCAUCACAACGCUAAAUAUGCGACCCUCAUGGAUGCAAUGAGGGCAGUAAAUGAUCCCCAAGCUGUGGCUGUUUUGGCAGUAUUAUUUCAGGUUGGUUUUGCCAAUCCAGCCAUGACUCCGAUCGUCGACGUUGUCCAGCUUUCUCUCCAUGAAGACCCAGUGUUCACGUCGUACCAAAAAGUUAUAAAUGUUGAAAACCUCCUCCCACUUAAGCUUCAUUAUGUCCGCUAUAUGGGAUCCCUGACGACCCCACCGUGCACGGAGAACGUCGUGUGGACAGUUUUUACUACUCCGGUCUCUAUUUCAUUACCUCAGUUGAUGUCCUUCCAACAAGUGUUGGAUCCUGAUGGUCUCCUUUACAUGAAUUUCCGGCCGACCCAACCCCUCAAUGGGAGGAGCCUUACGUGGUUUAAAGUUCCCGGAAUUAAGAGAAUAUUAACCGUGACGAAGCAAGGAUUAGUACAAAUCGGGGGAGGAGGCAGUAUUUUCAGUCUUUUGAGCAAUGCGCUGAAAUAUUUAGGAAAUCAAUUUUUUUGGAAUUUGUCAUUAUUAGUUGGUCAAUUUGGAAAUGUUUUCAAUUUAUUAUUUCCUUUAUUUAAUCCUUAUUUCUUCGUAAUAUAAGGAACAAUUUUUGUCAGAUUUGCAAGUCAUUAAAUAAUUUUGCGACUAUUUUUAUGUUUAUAAAGAAUAAGAUUCCUGCCUUCUGUAGUACAACUUUUUUAAAUCUUUUUAAAAAUUUUAUAACUAGCAAAUAUUAACCAAUUUAGCAAACAUUUAUGCAAAAUUUACAUUUAGCAACAGAAUUUGUUACUCGGUCCUGAAUAAGUUGAUCGUGUCUAUUCUUAAUUUUCAAUGGCAAAAUCUUACCACGCUUAUAAAGCCCUCCUAAAUAUCGUAACUUAUUUUACGACACGAAGAAUACUAUAUAAGGUUACGACGGAAUCAUGAAUACCCUCAUUGAACUUCAUUGCAAUGAAUAAAUUACGGCUUUGAUGAUAUCAAGAAAAUAUCUUUGUGUUCAAACCUGAUUAGAUAAGCAAACGUUUAAUCCGCUUUUCGUGAUCAAAUUAAAUAUGACUCACAACGUAUCCUGCUCAGUCAGAACCGGGUUAUACGUACAGUAGUAUUAUUGUAGUAUUAAAGUACGUUCGAUUCUAAACGGCGUAAUAAAACAUACGUAUCUAAGCUAACACCGUGGAAAAGCAUAUUAUUUGAAAUCGAAAUGGCCCCAAAGACAAACAAAGGGAACAAGAAGAAAGUUGCCAAACCCGUAAUCAAGUGCGUGUCCCAAGCAGAAUUGAAAUUGAAGGCAAAAUCUAAAAAGACGACUAGGGUCGGCGCCACGGUCAAUAUUAAACGCCGGGCCAGUGACUAUCGAAGACAAGGCGAUCUUACCAAAUCGCAUGUAAUGUAUCAUGCUAAAUCUUCAAAUAUCAAAAAAGCCGAAAACCUACUGCUUUCUGGCUGUAAGAAAAGGAAAGUUUGCAAGAAAAAUAAACAAGCGAAGAGCAACGUAAGUCAAAAAUCUGGUGAUACUUACGUAAUCCAA
RNA transcript from Folsomia candida, 2132 nucleotides. It is a transcript of the gene named carbonic anhydrase 1, with no coding region annotated. Lineage: Eukaryota; Metazoa; Arthropoda; Collembola; Entomobryomorpha; Isotomidae. The record is from RefSeq and is a predicted model, not a curated record. The transcript has 8 exons.